RNAcentral lists this ribosomal RNA (504 nucleotides) under Lyriothemis pachygastra. Its description in RNAcentral is "partial 16S rRNA". It matches the Rfam family "Bacterial large subunit ribosomal RNA", at positions 1829 to 2597 of the family's 2925-position model. The record is from RNAcentral. Lineage: Eukaryota; Metazoa; Arthropoda; Insecta; Odonata; Libellulidae.
GUCCUUUAGAAUUUAAUUGAAGGUCUAACCUGCCCAGUGAUGAUUUUAACGGCCGCGGUAUACUGACCGUGCAAAGGUAGCAUAAUCAUUAGUCUUUUAAUAGAGGGCUGGUAUGAAAGGUUUGACGAGGGACUAGCUGUCUCAUUUUAUUUGUUUUAAAAUUUAAUUUUUUAGUUAAAAAGCUAAAAUUUUAUUGGAAGACGAGAAGACCCUAUAGAUCUUUAUAUAGAUUAAUAUAGAAGAACAUAUAUCAUAUUUUUAUAUUAUUCUGUAUUUUGUUGGGGUGACAAAAAUAUAUAAUUAACUUUUUUAUUUAUCAACCAUUGAUUUAUGAAUAUUAGAUCCAUUAUUAGUGAUUAUUAGAUUAAGUUACCUUAGGGAUAACAGCGUAAUCCUCCUCCAGAGUUCAUAUUUACAGGAUGGGCUUGCGACCUCGAUGUUGGAUUAAGAUAAUAAUUAGGUGUAGCCGCUUAAUUUAUAGGUCUGUUCGACCUUUAAAUUCUU